AGUGAACGCUGGCGGCAGGCCUAACACAUGCAAGUCGAACGGCAGCACAGUAAGAGCUUGCUCUUACGGGUGGCGAGUGGCGGACGGGUGACGAAUACAUCGGAAUCUACUUUUUCGUGGGGGAUAACGUAGGGAAACUUACGCUAAUACCGCAUACGACCUACGGGUGAAAGCAGGGGAUCUUCGGACCUUGCGCGAUUGAAUGAGCCGAUGUCGGAUUAGCUAGUUGGCGGGGUAAAGGCCCACCAAGGCGACGAUCCGUAGCUGGUCUGAGAGGAUGAUCAGCCACACUGGAACUGAGACACGGUCCAGACUCCUACGGGAGGCAGCAGUGGGGAAUAUUGGACAAUGGGCGCAAGCCUGAUGCAGCCAUACCGCGUGGGUGAAGAAGGCCUUCGGGUUGCAAAGCCCUUUUGUUGGGAAAGAAAAGCAGCAGGUUAAAACCCCGCUGUUCUGACGGUACCCAAAGAAUAAGCACCGGCUAACUACGUG
RNAcentral lists this ribosomal RNA (492 nucleotides) under uncultured bacterium. Its description in RNAcentral is "partial 16S ribosomal RNA". It matches the Rfam family "Bacterial small subunit ribosomal RNA", at positions 29 to 507 of the family's 1533-position model. The record is from RNAcentral.